This 254-nucleotide ribosomal RNA is filed under the name uncultured bacterium. RNAcentral's name for it is "partial 16S ribosomal RNA". It matches the Rfam family "Bacterial small subunit ribosomal RNA", at positions 524 to 776 of the family's 1533-position model. The record is from RNAcentral.
UACGUAGGGCGCAAGCGUUUGUCCGGAAUUAUUGGGCGUAAAGAGCUCGUAGGCGGUUUGUCGCGUCUGCUGUGAAAACGCGAGGCUCAACCUCGCGCCUGCAGUGGGUACGGGCAGACUAGAGUGCGGUAGGGGAGAUUGGAAUUCCUGGUGUAGCGGUGGAAUGCGCAGAUAUCAGGAGGAACACCGAUGGCGAAGGCAGAUCUCUGGGCCGUUACUGACGCUGAGGAGCGAAAGCGUGGGGAGCGAACAGG